GGAGGUAGUGACAAUAAAUCACAAUGCGGGACUAUUCGUCUUGCAAUUGGAUUGAGAACAAUGUACAACUCUUAUCGAUAAGCCAUUGGAGGGCAAGUCUGGUGCCAGCAGCCGCGGUAAUUCCAGCUCCAAUAGCGUAUAUUAACGUUGUUGCAGUUAAAAAGCUCGUAGUUGAAGUGUGGGUGGUGCCAUCUGUGAAGCUUCGGCUUCUAGGAUACUCACUACCCCCUUCCAGUAUCCAGUAGUGGGUAUUCAGUUACUUACUAUUGUGUGUUGGUCGUUUGCUGUGAGAAAAUUAGAGUGUUCAAAGCAGGCGUUUGCUUGAAUAGAUUAGCAUGGAAUAAUAAUUGAAGGCUUUCGUGUUCGAUUUGAUUGGUUUGUUCAUGGAAGCAAGGUUAAAAGGAACAGUUGGGGGUAUUCAUAUUCACUAGUUAGAGGUGAAAUUCUCGGAUUUAUGGAAGAUGAACAAGUGCGAAAGCA
This 480-nucleotide ribosomal RNA is filed under the name Blastocystis sp. H-5. Its description in RNAcentral is "SSU rRNA". It matches the Rfam family "Eukaryotic small subunit ribosomal RNA", at positions 460 to 953 of the family's 1831-position model. The record is from RNAcentral. Lineage: Eukaryota; Bigyra; Opalinata; Blastocystidae.